UUUUUCAUAGAACAGAUUUGGAGAAAGAAACAGAAAUCCAGUUAGUUUUAUAUAUUUCAUUAGGAAUCAGUAAAUGAUAAGUAAGUCAUAACAUUAAGAGCUAGCAGAACUAACCCCACCAGCCAUAUAUAGGAACAGCAGGUCCUGAAUAGCACAUAUUCAGACGUCAUCUUCUACUACUGACUUCCUUUAAACAAGGCUUAAGCUAUAUGAAUAUUGAUUGUAUUCAGUGAAUAAAGUAUAUUGUAACUGGCUUGUUACGAGUACAAGUAAUUAGAAAUACCCCGCGUGACAGGAGG
Dreissena polymorpha is the source of this 299-nucleotide long non-coding RNA. RefSeq lists it as uncharacterized. The transcript has 3 exons. The record is from RefSeq and is a predicted model, not a curated record. Lineage: Eukaryota; Metazoa; Mollusca; Bivalvia; Myida; Dreissenidae.